Non-coding RNA from Nicotiana tabacum (common tobacco), 3503 nucleotides. Lineage: Eukaryota; Viridiplantae; Streptophyta; Magnoliopsida; Solanales; Solanaceae. The record is from RefSeq and is a predicted model, not a curated record.
AGCGGCAGUUGAGGAGCUUGGGGUCGUCAGGGUUAUUUUGGAAAGACUGGAAUUGCUAUUUGGGAAAACCUGCAACUAUUUUAGCCUAACACACGUGGUAUCCGUGGUUUCCACAGUUCUCACGCGUAUAUCCCACAAAAAAAUCGCCGCUGCACUGCUUAGCCUAUCUCAGUGUUCAUAGCUGGGAAGUAAAUCUCCUUUUAAUCUAUCUUCAGGUCGUCUGCUUUUUCCUUGCUCUUUCUCUUGCACUUCGGUGGAUUAUUGCGGUAAUUAUCCUUCUUUCUUAUCUUCUGUUUUUCCCCAUAUUUCAUAGGAUACUAGGAUCUAACAUUCUACUGCUGAAACCAUUAAAACCAACGCUUAAUGGAGUAAAACACAUCAAAAAAUCAAAAAGUGAAAUAUUACCUCGCUGACUUUUCUAUUCUCUGGUAUCAAAAUUGACUCUAACUAUCAGAAGUCUGUUAUUUUUAUCGCACCAUUCUCUUGGACUUUUGGGUAACUAUUUAAUUUUGUCAUUGAAGCUUGAGUUUUUCCCUCCACUUCAUUUUGCGUGCAAGAUUUUACUGAAGAAGAAUUGGGUAAAAGUCCUUAGGUAAAACUAUUGUGUUAUAGGUGUUUGAUAAAUUUCUUUAAGAGAUUAAUUAAUUUUUCAUUACUGGUUUGCUCUCCAUUAAAAUAUAAACAUAUUGUAAUUUGGCAUGCGACAAAACUGGUGGUUCUCAAAUUUUUAUUCAUAUAAGUUGCAAAAACAAGUGAAAGCUUUUUUGGAUUAAUUGCAAUAGACACAUAGGAAUUUUCGGAAGUUAGAACCUGCCAGUCCAAAUGCAAAGUACCAUUAUUCAACGAAUCAUGCAAAAGUCCCUCUUCAUCGUGAUGUGGUCAAUUUGAUUAUGUAAUUAGCUAGGUCUUCACUGAAGUUCCAAUUUGAGAAUUGCGUGAUCUUCCUUUGAAAAUUCCUUGGUAGAUGAAGUAAUAGAGAACUACUAAAAAGAAAAAUUGAAAAUUUCAUCUCCUACAUAGAGGAAAUGUGUAAUUCUAGAUGAUACCUUCUUGGUUACAGUAAGUUGGCAUCACUGCUACAUCGUGUAAUUUGGCACGAAAAAGUUGAAUAUAUGUAUAAGUUUGAUUUUGGCAUGUUAAAAAUGCAUUGUAACUUUUGUUUUUUGAUAAGAGGAAACCCGCAGCCGCUACACUUGGUGCGCACUGGGUAAACUUCCCCUGUGUAAUAGCCUGCAAACCACACAGGGAGAUAAACCGCACUAGAUAAGCCAUGCGUGACAGGCUCAACCCAGAAGGCAUUGAGGGGGAUUCAAUCCCAGAAGGUUUUUAAAAAUGCAUUGUAACUGUGGCGGCAUUGAUCUUUUCCAUUUGUUUUUGUCCCCUAGAAAUAGAAAGCCAAAUUAGAUAUAAUUGGCAAAACGACAAAUCAUUAAAGAGAUGUAGGAAAUUCCAUAGUCCUGGAUGAUAUGAAUCAUGGUGUUCAAACUUCAAAUAAAAAUAUUGUGACAAAUUGUUCCAUCCAAAGAGCCAUGUUGCGUCUUUCAUUUAAGUUUAGUAUGAACACAAGUUGAAGGGACAAGAUGCGUUGGUAUUGAUCAUCAGUGGGUGUAAAUUGCAAAAUGAUGUCCUAUUUUGACCAACUAAAAUGGAUUGAUUCAGAAAGAAAAUAUAAUAAACACAUUGAAACUAAGAUAGUGCAAUCGACUUAGGAUGUUGAGCCUUGUGGGACGAAAGAAUAUGAAUAAUUCUGGAAGUUAUCUGUUAAACUCUACUAAAAUCUGUAGAGGUUUUAAGCCAAGCUUUAAGUUAAAGUGAAUAUACUGAAGAGUGUGGAAUGAAAAUCAUAAGAAAUUUGAAUUUAGAUAUAAAUAUUAUGUGAUUUUUUUAUAUUAUCAAUAAAACACUACAUAAUUUUCUAGAAAUGCUUUUUACUUAUUCAGACGUUACUUUUUAUAAGAUAACGUAAUUAAAGAGUUUCACGUAAAAACUCGAUUAUCUUGUAUUGUACUCUUAUGUUUUUUUUUUUUCAUGUCUCUCUUUGUUGCACAACUAUUUUCUAUAGAUAUAUUCUCUUCUUAAUCCCAAGUGUCGAUCUGUGCUUAUGUGAAUUCGGUGAGUGUUUACUUCAGUUAAGGUUUAAUUCAAUUAGAUCUGGUUUACUUUGCUUACAAUCUCCUUUGUGGCAAUCUGUAUAUUGGUAUGUUAGUUGAUAGACUUUCAUCUUUUUUAAAAUUUUAAGUUUUGUAGGAAGACCGUAAUAGAUUCAAGUGCACCAGUUCAGGAGAAGGCUCUUGAUACUUUCAUUUUAUGCACACAUGCUACCUUCUACUUUCGCCAAUUCUGAUGAUUUACACACAUGUGCUAAUACUUAUUUUACUUUUGCGUUUUCUAGAUCAGCUUGUCGUCUCAGAUAUAAAGACAAAAAUAUUCUGCUUUCUAAGAGUACAUGCAAAAACAUUCUGCUUCCUAAGAGCACAAAAACUAUCAGGGACCUAGUUCAGCUUGUAGAAUUGCAGCAGCAAGAAGAAUUACAUAUUAAUUUAGAUACUUGCACAAUAUACUUUUGAUUGGUUUAAUUUCAAUUUGACUUUUGAUGCAACUUAAAAGUUAAUCAGUUAGUGUUCUUAGUUUUGCAACAGUUUGAAUCACAUUGUAUGAUAUUUGUUCACAUUUGUUUCACGGUCAGUGAAGAGAAGUGCUUUACGUUAAAUCAAAAACUAAUAAGGUCUUGGGCUCGGGCUCAGCCCGGCCUACCUCCAACUAGUUCUCCUAUAUAAAAAGCACCGUAGGAACAGCUGAAGCAGCCUACUCUUCGUCGACAUGCCAGCUUAAGCCAAAAUAGUUUCACUCCUGCUUUUCAACAUUAUUACAUCAACUGCCAUCACAUAAUUUUGUAAAUAAAAUAAAUAUUUUAGGUAUUUUCAAAGCCUACUUUUGACCUUUCACCGCUACUUUAGCUAAAGUGACAGGUUUUACAUCUUGGGCUGACUCAUUAUAACUACAACCCAACACGUAGAUUACUUUUGACAGUUGCAAGAUAAUUUCAUAUGGUACAGAAAAUUAUACACCUACGGAUACUCUCCUUUCCAGAACUUUGUUUUUGGAUUACCUUAGCUCUGUGAACUUCAGACUUAAGUUGUCGUGUCUACUUGAUUGAAAGAUCUUUUGGUAUUUUGCUUGGUUUUCCUAUUGGCUUUCUCUGAAGAACACUGCGUUUGUUUGCUAAUCAGGGGUUAUGGCGACUGCUGCUUGAGAAGUUCUAUUUCGAAUUUUCUACUUAUUUCAAGAUUGAAGUUGUAAGAGUAGUGGGAGGUUUUAAUAUCACUAAAGAGCUGAAUUAAGAAAGCUCGAUUUGUGACGAUCUUAUUUUCAAGGGAUUUUCAAGGAAAUCAUCGAGAUUUGAGCCGUCCGGAGGUGGCUUCACUCAUGAAGAUCAUUUAAAGACUCGGUUUAGUUUCGCCGAUGUAUUGGAGAUACCAGACUCGGGCAGAGUUAGUGUGUUG